UACGAAGGGGGCUAGCGUUGCUCGGAAUCACUGGGCGUAAAGCGCACGUAGGCGGCUUUCUAAGUCAGGGGUGAAAUCCUGGAGCUCAACUCCAGAACUGCCUUUGAUACUGGAGAGCUUGAGUCCGGAAGAGGUGAGUGGAACUCCGAGUGUAGAGGUGAAAUUCGUAGAUAUUCGGAAGAACACCAGUGGCGGAGGCGGCUCACUGGACUGGUAUUGACGCUGAGGUGCGAAAGCGUGGGGAGCAAACAGG
RNAcentral lists this ribosomal RNA (253 nucleotides) under uncultured bacterium. Its description in RNAcentral is "partial 16S ribosomal RNA". It matches the Rfam family "Bacterial small subunit ribosomal RNA", at positions 524 to 776 of the family's 1533-position model. The record is from RNAcentral.